This 578-nucleotide ribosomal RNA is filed under the name uncultured bacterium. Its description in RNAcentral is "partial 16S ribosomal RNA". It matches the Rfam family "Bacterial small subunit ribosomal RNA", at positions 355 to 923 of the family's 1533-position model. The record is from RNAcentral.
UGGGGAAUUUUGGACAAUGGGCGAAAGCCUGAUCCAGCAAUGCCGCGUGUGUGAAGAAGGCCUUCGGGUUGUAAAGCACUUUUGUCCGGAAAGAAAUCCUUGGCUCUAAUACAGUCGGGGGAUGACGGUACCGGAAGAAUAAGCACCGGCUAACUACGUGCCAGCAGCCGCGGUAAUACGUAGGGUGCAAGCGUUAAUCGGAAUUAUUGGGCGUAAAGCGUGCGCAGGCGGUUUGCUAAGACCGAUGUGAAAUCCCCGGGCUCAACCUGGGAACUGCAUUGGUGACUGGCAGGCUAGAGUAUGGCAGAGGGGGGUAGAAUUCCACGUGUAGCAGUGAAAUGCGUAGAGAUGUGGAGGAAUACCGAUGGCGAAGGCAGCCCCCUGGGCCAAUACUGACGCUCAUGCACGAAAGCGUGGGGGAGCAAAACAGGAUUAGAUACCCUGGUAGUCCACGCCCUAAAACGAUGUCAACUAGUUGUUGGGGAUUCAUUUCCUUAGUAACGUAGCUAACGCGUGAAGUUGACCGCCUGGGGAGUACGGUCGCAAGAUUAAAACUCAAAUGAAUUGACGGGGUCAUA